AGGAAUGGGGAGGUGAAGGGGUAGGGGCUACAGAGGGAAAACCAGAAUCCCCAGAAAGCAGCAUUUAUUGAGCAGGGUGGAGGGGGGAGCGCACAAAAUGUUCCACCUUUUUGUUUUGAGUUUUACUGACUGGACAAGAGGAGAUAACAUCCUGCAAUUGUGUACGUAAUUCAUCCUCCAACCACAAGGGAGAGGAAAGCAACGGAGCGCAUCGUUCAAUUCUAUCGGUGUAUGGGCUGGGCAGCUGCCUGCUGACUCCUGAUUGCAGAGAGACGGCUAAGCUGAGAGGCUCCAGGAGGUAGAAGUGACACUGGAUUCCGAGAAGCUGCUUGGAAGAGAGGCUCGACACAUCAAAUACUACUCGGCAAACUCUCUCUCCCUCUCUCUGCUCCCACUCUCUCCUCUGCAUCCUCUCUCUCUCUCCUGCUCCGUGUCAUUCCCCCUCUCACGUCCAAGUUAAGGGUCUCUACUCCACUCCUCUCCUGCACUCUUUUCCCCAACCCCAUAAGCUUUGUCAUUUCUCUCUCCUUCUCUUCCCCCCGCCCAUUGUUUUCAGUGUCAUUUCUCUUAUUUUGUCUUGCUGGCCCAGAGUUACUUUAAAGCUGUAAAUUAAAAUGCCUCAGAGCCCUCUCCCCCUCCCCUUGGUCAGUUUCACAUUUGGCAGCUUGACUGAAACAGGAAACUUGGCAAUCACACCGUCCAUACAACUCUAUUACACAGAGUUAUUGCAACUCUACUACACAAAGGAAUAACCCAAGAGGUGUCAUGUGGGGAAACCAGCAACACUGAGAAAUUGAAUUAAAUGAACCCACAAUACCUGUCACAAAAUGUCUCUAGAGGUCCCAAAUAUAACAUUUUGAGAGAAGGGUGACAUAGUAACUCUUUCUCCCUUUCCCUUUGAACACGUGCAAAAAGAGAUAAGGAGUGCAAGAGACUUAUUUAGCGGCUCCACUUCACUCCCCAUGUCAUGUGACGGAGUAGACGGAGCUGAAGCAUCUGUGUGUGGAGAGAAUCUUUCGGCACCUGUGAUUGGCUCUUCAACAUGUGUCCAAGAGCCACAUAAAGCAUAAUUUUUAUAUACUGUAACUCUCACCCGGUUCCAUUGUGAAAAAGAAUAGCUUUAACAAACAGAAUCCUACUACUGGAUUUGAUCAAUCUUUACGCUACGCUUAAUAUUUUACUUGCUGUAUGUUUACAGACUAUGCUACUGGUCUAAUCACUCUGUUGAUGGUUCAUGCUGACAUAUCAGUGUAUAUACACAUAUAUUGGUGUAUACACACCAAAUAUUCACAGACUUAGUUUAGACCAUGGAACGUUUACACUUUCAUGAUCCACCUUUAUCUGAUUCCAGCUGCACAUAUUUUAGCAUUCUAGAUGUACUGUUUUGGAGUAACACAAACACUGCUCCCAUCACAGCAAGAGACCAUGCAUUCAGCUGUACUGAUAUCUUGUUCUGCAUGUAGCCAGUGAUCUGUACUGUAUAUGACCUGUCUGGUCAUAUGGCUAAUGUGACAUAAUAGCGCCCUCUGUUGUUGAAUGUGUAACUCGCAAAAUAAAUGAGACUCAUCUCUC
Long non-coding RNA from Oncorhynchus nerka (sockeye salmon), 1572 nucleotides. RefSeq lists it as uncharacterized. The transcript has 3 exons. Lineage: Eukaryota; Metazoa; Chordata; Actinopteri; Salmoniformes; Salmonidae. The record is from RefSeq and is a predicted model, not a curated record.